This 965-nucleotide long non-coding RNA is filed under the name Musa acuminata (dwarf banana). RNAcentral describes it as "long non-coding RNA (MACU_LNC001401)". The record is from RNAcentral. Lineage: Eukaryota; Viridiplantae; Streptophyta; Magnoliopsida; Zingiberales; Musaceae.
AGCUGGACAAGAAGCAGCCACCUGAAGUCGUUUUAUUUCUAAGCAUAUGAAAGUAUCAAUUCAAGACGAAACAACAGAGAAUUCACUGUCUCAAUCAAAUUGGACUAAGGCAGAAAGCUAAAGAAUUAAAAUGGCACUUCAAAGACAGAUUCUGAUGAGUAUUUGCAACCUGCUUGCGAAUGAGGACGAAGCCAAGAGAUUACUGCCACUGAGAUUGUAAUCCGAGAGGACUCCACAAAGCCUCUACUAAUGCCUGUCGGAUACUAAAAAGGGGUUCCUUCUCAAUCAAAGUAGGGUUUCUGCAUAAGAAUGAUGACGCAACUUUCAUCCGAAGAUCCGUCUGUACGUUCAGUGUUAGAAACACAGGGUGUCCCAGAUCAUUUGGGGAGCAGGAUUCGACGAUCCCUACCACCCGAUGAUCAAUCCACCAAGCCAAUCAACACCAUGGAGAACAAAUCAAAUCCCUAGGCAGGUCUGCAAGACAACAACCUGCAGCUGUCCAAGAACCAAUCGGGUAGACCCGAUUGCAAUUUUCCCCUAACCGAAGCCACGCAGAUGAUAGUCGGGAGGCAGAGGCAUACCCUGAAACCCUAACGCGCACAGCCACGGAAUGAGCUUGAAAUCCCCAUCGUCGUCGUCGAGAUUCAGUCCGCCAUCAUCCGUGCACCGAUCGCGAAAGAAAGGGCAAUAUUGGUGGUCUGACGCCUGCACGAAGCCGGCAAGGCCGGGGAUUUGCAAGGGAGGAGACUCCUCGACGGGUCGGAGGAGAGAGUGAGGGUUUUAGUAGGAGGGGGAGUAAGUGGGAGAAGGGCCGCAGGGAAGGCGGGGAGGUGAGGGUUUGAGAAUCCCGAGAAGAAGAGGAGGAACGAAUGAGGAGAGGAAGGAGAACGGAGUCGUAGACGUCGAUUCUGUCUUCCCACGGCUUGUGGCUCCUCCGACUCUUCUCGGUCCCUCGAGCUCUCGUG